This is a long non-coding RNA of Alligator sinensis (Chinese alligator), 507 nucleotides long. RefSeq lists it as uncharacterized. The transcript has 3 exons. Lineage: Eukaryota; Metazoa; Chordata; Crocodylia; Alligatoridae. The record is from RefSeq and is a predicted model, not a curated record.
GUAUUUUUUAGCUUCCUGGGGCUGUGAUAAUAAUUAUAACAGAGAGAGCAGAACAAACUCUCAAGGAACCAUCUACAGAUCAUGACCGCUGCAGUAUCUGUGCUAGUAAAUUGGAGACCAUUGAAAAUGUACCUGUAAAGGAGCUACUACAAGGGGCAUUUUGGUUAAUGUUUACAAAACAAGUGAAUAAUGGUCUGGGGUAAACUGGGAACACUUGGAGAGAGAUUACCACCACCACCACCAGCAGCCUUGCAGCCAAGAAAUGGUUCCAGUAAGCAGCAUCUUGGAAGAUAAUACUUGGACCCAACAACCUGUACAAAGACUUGCCCAGUUAGUUAUCUUCACUCCUGUAGUCUAACCUGUAUCUAUUCUAGGAAGCCAAAUCUGUUCCCAUUUACAGGGUGCAAAUGCAAAAGAAUUCUAAUGAAGCUUACUUACUUGUUAUAUCAAGGAAUUGUUUUCCUUCACCUCCUCUCUGCAUUGCAAUGGGCACUUUCUGGUAUGUAU